GUUGUGCAAUAAUCUGAACAAAAUGUCGGCCACAAUCAAGUUUCUGUCCGUUUUCUAUCUGUGUGUGGUGCUGGGCGCAGUAUUUGCGAAGCACGUCGCGCCUGAUUCUAAGCCCGUGUCUCAUCAUGUUGCUGACAGUGGUGCCAAUACAAUCGUUAUAUUAUAUUUGAAUGAUUUUGCAACACAGGGUGUAAAUAACAACAAUCAUAAUCGAUUUAAAAGGAACCCAUGGAUACAAAAGUGGGUAGAUCCUAUGGACGAACAGGUGAAAGACAGAGAAAUGGAACGUUACGCACUCAACUGGUAAUAAUCAGACUACAUGCUUGGAACACCUGGUGGGCUGGUGGUGGACGAGGAAGCAGCCAACGUUGGACAUCAGAAAUUAUAACGACCUUCGCAUGCAUAAAUACUAAUAUAUUAAGCUUUUGUUUUGUUUGUGUUUUUGUCUCAAUAAAAGUUUGUGUGGUUUCA
Spodoptera frugiperda (fall armyworm) is the source of this 471-nucleotide long non-coding RNA. RefSeq lists it as uncharacterized. The transcript is spliced from 2 exons. The record is from RefSeq and is a predicted model, not a curated record. Lineage: Eukaryota; Metazoa; Arthropoda; Insecta; Lepidoptera; Noctuidae.